GAUGAACGCUGGCGGCGUGCCUAAUACAUGCCAGUCGAGCGAACAGACGAGGAGCUUGCUCCUCUGACGUUAGCGGCGGACGGGUGAGUAACACGUGGAUAACCUACCUAUAAGACUGGGAUAACUUCGGGAAACCGGAGCUAAUACCGGAUAAUAUAUUGAACCGCAUGGUUCAAUAGUGAAAGACGGUUUUGCUGUCACCUAUAGAUGGAUCCGCGCCGCAUUAGCUAGUUGGUAAGGUAACGGCUUACCAAGGCAACGAUGCGUAGCCGACCUGAGAGGGUGAUCGGCCACACUGGAACUGAGACACGGUCCAGACUCCUACGGGAGGCAGCAGUAGGGAAUCUUCCGCAAUGGGCGAAAGCCUGACGGAGCAACGCCGCGUGAGUGAUGAAGGUCUUCGGAUCGUAAAACUCUGUUAUUAGGGAAGAACAAAUGUGUAAGUAACUAUGCACGUCUUGACGGUACCUAAUCAGAAAGCCACGGCUAACUACGUG
This 497-nucleotide ribosomal RNA is filed under the name uncultured bacterium. Its description in RNAcentral is "partial 16S ribosomal RNA". It matches the Rfam family "Bacterial small subunit ribosomal RNA", at positions 28 to 507 of the family's 1533-position model. The record is from RNAcentral.